GAUGAAGAACGCAGCGAAAUGCGAUAAGUAAUGUGAAUUGCAGAAUUCAGUGAAUCAUCGAAUCUUUGAACGCACAUUGCGCCCCUUGGUAUUCCAUGGGGCAUGCCUGUUCGAGCGUCAUUUGUACCUUCAAGCCUUGCUUGGUGUUGGGUGUUUGUCUCGCCUCUGCGCGCAGUCUCGCCUCAAAACAAUUGGCAGCCGGCGUAUUGAUUUCGGAGCGCAGUACAUCUCGCGCUUUGCACUCAGAACGACGACGUCCAAAAGUACAUUUUUACACUCUUGACCUCGGAUCAGGUAGGGAUACCCGCUGAACUUAAGCAUAUCAAUAAGCGGAGGA
This 337-nucleotide unclassified non-coding RNA is filed under the name soil metagenome. RNAcentral describes it as "partial contains 5.8S ribosomal RNA, internal transcribed spacer 2, and large subunit ribosomal RNA". The stretch from base 1 to 120 matches the Rfam family "5.8S ribosomal RNA", at positions 35 to 154 of the family's 154-position model. The record is from RNAcentral.